RNAcentral lists this long non-coding RNA (240 nucleotides) under Sorghum bicolor (sorghum). Its description in RNAcentral is "long non-coding RNA (SBIC_LNC009413)". The record is from RNAcentral. Lineage: Eukaryota; Viridiplantae; Streptophyta; Magnoliopsida; Poales; Poaceae.
AAGGGUGAUAUAAGCUACAACAUUUGUGACUAUAUUGAGUCUAUCAAUCAUUUGUUCUUUAAUGGUCACCUGGCAUUGUUAGUUUGGGGGCUUUUACAAGAUAUUUUUGAGCUUGAUCCUUGUCCUAGAUUCCUAGAAGAUAUGUCUGUUACUUGGUUACAAGGCAUGGGGCCUUUGCGAAAUCGGGUGGUUAUGUUUUUUUUUGCGGGUUUUGCUUGGACGUUAUGGAUUAUGCAGAAU